Molecule: ribosomal RNA, 322 nt
Filed under: uncultured eukaryote
Lineage: Eukaryota
Description: partial 18S ribosomal RNA
Rfam family: Eukaryotic small subunit ribosomal RNA
Source: RNAcentral
CCCUUAGAUGUUCUGGGCCGCACGCGUGCUACACUGAGUGGAUCAGCGGGUCAGGUUGCGCGAAAGCGUUUCCUAAUCUUUAAAUCCGCUCGUGAUGGGGAUUGACGGUUGCAAUUUUCUGUCAUGAACGAGGAAUACCUUGUAAGCGCGGGUCAUCAUCCCGCGCUGAAUACGUCCCUGCCCUUUGUACACACCGACCGUCGCUCCUACCGAUUGAGUGGUCCGGUGAGGCUUUGGGAUCUGAGCGGAAAGAGCGUUUCGCUGUUUCUGCUCGGAAAACUCAGUCGAACCUUAUCAUUUAGAGGAAGGAGAAGUCGUAACA